This 468-nucleotide ribosomal RNA is filed under the name uncultured bacterium. Its description in RNAcentral is "partial 16S ribosomal RNA". It matches the Rfam family "Bacterial small subunit ribosomal RNA", at positions 28 to 507 of the family's 1533-position model. The record is from RNAcentral.
GACGAACGCUGGCGGCGUGCUUAACACAUGCAAGUCGAACGGAAAGGCGCUGCUUUUGUGGGGUGCUCGAGUGGCGAACGGGUGAGUAACACGUGAGUAACCUGCCCUUGACUUUGGGAUAACUUCAGGAAACUGGGGCUAAUACCGGAUAGAAGCUCCUGCUGCACGGGGGGGGUUGGAAAGUUUCGGCGGUUGGGGAUGGACGCGCGGGUUAUCAGCUGGUUGGUGGGGUAGGGGAUGACCAAGGCUUUGAAGGGUAGCCGGCCUGGGAGGGGGACCGGCGACCUUGCGCCUGCGAGACGCCCCAGACUCCUACGGGAGGCAGCGGUGGGGAAUAUUGCACAGUGAGCGGACGUCUGUUGCGGCGACCCCGCGUUCGGGAUGACGGCCUUCGGGUUGUAAACCGCUUUCGCCUGUGACGAAGCGUGAGUGACGGUAAUGGGUAAAGAAGCACCGGCUAACUACGUG